UUCUGUGAGUGUAAGGGUUUGAAGAGAAGAGCUGAAUGUAGAGACUGAGUGUAGAGCUGAAUGUAGAGCUGAAUGUGUGAUAUGGAAGACAUAUUCACUUAUGAGACCCCACGGCAAGAGGGACAGGUCCAGCUGGGACCCACAGACACGUGGAGGGCUGGGGACUGAUGCUGCUGUGGGGGAACUGUGAUGCCCACGUGAAGUUGCUGCUGUGGGAUGGGAGUGCUGCUGUUGGAUGGGAGUGCUGCUGUUUGAUGGAACUGAUGCUGGCAGCUUAUAAAAGGAAAUCGAGUCCAAAGGACUCGGUUCCUAAGCCUGAAAAACGAGUUCGUUGAACUCGGUUUCAAAGAGUAGAAACCGAGUCCAAUGGACUCGGUUUCUAAGCGCAAAAAACGAGUCCUUUAAAGUCGGUUUCAAAGCCUAGAAACCAACUCAAAUGAACUCGGUUUUAAAGCCUAGAAACCGACUCAAAUGAACUCGGUUUUUCCCUGCACCUUCUGAUCAACUUAGGAGUGGAUUUAUUUUACAAUUGCAAUCACAUAUUGAGAUUCAUUUUUUCUUGUUCUUAUUCAGUGUUGGAUACUCAGCACAUGUAUUCUAUACAGUCAACAAAUUAGUCUUGACUAAGAGCACCAGUGAAAGUUUAUGGGCCUAAGGUAGCUCCAUUUGUUAAGCCAAUAACUAUUGAUGAGACAAAGGAAAAUAGACUUUAAAAUCAUUGAACUGAAAAAUAAGGUUUGUUCUGGUAAUGACAAUAACUUUGUUGUCAUUAAUCAAAAGGGAAUUGAUCCCCCAUCACUGGACAUUCUUGCGAGGGCAGGGGGUGCUGGAGCUUUUGAAGUUGCUGCCAGACAAUAUCUAAUAAACGAAGUAAAGAAGACUGUUCAAGGGGUAACAAAAUGUCUCCCAAAAUUUUCCCUGCACAUAAUUUUUUUUAAGCAUUAGUUAUCUCUCUGAUCAGUUUCUUUAAGCAUUACUUUGUUUCAUGUCCAUCAAAAACUCAUCAACACUGCAGCACACAAGGAGAUUCAUUCAUUUUAUAUUAUUUGUGCAUACAACACAGCAGAGCAAAAAUAAAGAAAUACUGAAUCAUGCAGCAACUAAUAAGUUGAGGCAUUUCAAGGAUUUACUACUGCAACUUGUUCUAAUUAUACAAUGCUUAUACUUAUGUUGACAUUUAGGAGCAGAAGAGCUAAUAAUGUUAUGCUU
Molecule: RNA transcript, 1209 nt
Organism: Quercus robur (English oak)
Lineage: Eukaryota; Viridiplantae; Streptophyta; Magnoliopsida; Fagales; Fagaceae
Gene name: T-complex protein 1 subunit zeta 1-like
Exons: 4
Source: RefSeq, a predicted model, not a curated record